GAUGAACGCUGGCGGCGUGCCUAAUACAUGCAAGUCGAGCGAACAGACGAGGAGCUUGCUCCUCUGACGUUAGCGGCGGACGGGUGAGUAACACGUGGAUAACCUACCUAUAAGACUGGGAUAACUUCGGGAAACCGGAGCUAAUACCGGAUAAUAUAUUGAACCGCAUGGUUCAAUAGUGAAAGACGGUUUUGCUGUCACUUAUAGAUGGAUCCGCGCCGCAUUAGCUAGUUGGUAAGGUAACGGCUUACCAAGGCGACGAUGCGUAGCCGACCUGAGAGGGGGCUCAGCCGGACUGGGACACAGACCCGGACCAGACGGGAACGGGAGGCAGCAGAACGGAAGCAAUGGCAAUGAGCGAGAGCCUGAAAGAGCGAGUGAGUGAGGAUGAUCUACGGGUUCGGAAGCUAUGUUACUGGUGAUGGAAGGCAAUAAUGGGGUAAGUAACAAUGCUCGUCGGGACGGUACUAGAUCAGCAAGGCACGGUUAGUU
RNAcentral lists this ribosomal RNA (492 nucleotides) under uncultured bacterium. RNAcentral's name for it is "partial 16S ribosomal RNA". It matches the Rfam family "Bacterial small subunit ribosomal RNA", at positions 28 to 502 of the family's 1533-position model. The record is from RNAcentral.